GGGAGUGAAAUAGAACCUGAAACCCUGCACUUACAAGCCGUGGCAGCACAUUUCUUGUGUGACCGCGUACUUUUUGUAGAACGGGCCAACGAGUUACGUUAAGUAGCAAGGUUAAGCACUUAAGGUGUGGAGCCGUAGCGAAAGCGAGCUUUAACUGAGCGUUCAGUUACUUGACGUAGACCCGAAACCGGGCGACCUACCCAUGAGCAGGAUGAAGCGAAAGUAAAAUUUCGUGGAGGUCCGAACCCACGAGCGUUGAAAAGCUCGGGGAUGACUUGUGGGUAGCGGUGAAAUUCCAAUCGAGCCCGGAGAUAGCUGGUCCGAAAUAGCUUUAGGGCUAGCCUCAAGGUGAGAGAUAC
RNAcentral lists this ribosomal RNA (359 nucleotides) under Clostridioides difficile. RNAcentral describes it as "partial 23S ribosomal RNA". It matches the Rfam family "Bacterial large subunit ribosomal RNA", at positions 534 to 897 of the family's 2925-position model. The record is from RNAcentral. Lineage: Bacteria; Bacillati; Bacillota; Clostridia; Peptostreptococcales; Peptostreptococcaceae.